AAGUUCCAUCUGCCAUGUUUGGUCUUACUCUGAAGAGGGAAGACUGUGACGAGGAUGGGGCACUUGAGCGAAAAAGGCAGAAGCGAGCUUUAACUCCAGAGUCAGCCCUUUUUCCAUAGUAGGUCCAAACAACUGGAGCUUCCUUUGUUCUUCGGCCGUCUUCACAAACAUACACGAGAACAGACAUGACCUGACAAUGGGAUAUUUUAGGUGAGAAUUUAAUUGGAUCAUUUAGAAUAAAGCUGCACCAUGUAACAGAAUUUGUUGCAGCCAGUACAGCAAAAAUGUUAAGCAGACUUGGGUCCAACAAUUCUUCUUAGAUACAAUCUAGUUGGCAAUGAGAGAAGCAUUUCUUUAUGCACAAAGGUCUCUAUAUCCUACACAAUGUGCUACCCUUCUCUAUCUGAAUCGUUGCCGGAGGCAUCAUGUUCUGCAAUAUUUGUUGAAGCAAGUAAAUCUCUUUGUACCAUAGCUAUUGAUCAAUUAAAAAUUAUAACGUCUUAUCAAAGAAAGCUUAGUUUCCAGUUCGCAUAUCUGAAGUGAAAGCACCAUUAGAGAGAGACGAUACAGAA
Molecule: non-coding RNA, 572 nt
Organism: Theobroma cacao (cacao)
Lineage: Eukaryota; Viridiplantae; Streptophyta; Magnoliopsida; Malvales; Malvaceae
Source: RefSeq, a predicted model, not a curated record